Ameiurus melas (black bullhead) is the source of this 75-nucleotide non-coding RNA. NCBI's taxonomy places the organism in Eukaryota, Metazoa, Chordata, Actinopteri, Siluriformes, Ictaluridae. The record is from the annotation of a GenBank genome assembly.
GGCAGUAUUGGCUGAGUGGUUAAAAGCUCUUGUUUAAUGAUUAGAAGGUCAGGAGUUCAAGCCCCAGCACCGCCG